UCAAAUGAAGCAAGCCUAUCUUCAUCAAGUAACAAGAAUGAAGUUGGUACUAUGUACCCUCCACCACAGCAGAUGCAACAGUCCUCCUUAGCUUCUGUGCCAAUUAAUUCCGACAAUCAAACGCAAACCAACAAGAAAAAGAGAAAUCUUCCAGGCAAUCCAGGUAAACCAUGUUGGUUAUCAUAUGUUAUUUGUUUGAUUCUUAUCAAAUCCAUGUACAUACGUCAAUGUUAAUAUAAUAUAGACGUAUAUUUAUCGAUCUUGUAUCUUCAUCUUGGCAUCUACCUUCUGAUAUAUAUAUUGAAAGUGUUGUAUAUAUAUAAAGACCAUUUCUUUAUUUGAUUAAUUACAUCAUUUUAAUUGAAUCUUAAAGACCCAGAGGCUGAGGUGAUAGCUAUGUCUCCAAAAUCACUGAUGGCAACAAACAGAUUUGUAUGUGAGAUUUGCAACAAAGGGUUUCAAAGAGAUCAGAAUCUUCAGUUGCAUAGACGAGGUCACAAUCUGCCAUGGAAGCUGAAGCAAAGAUCAAAACAAGAGGUGGUUAGGAAGAAGGUGUAUGUAUGCCCAGAACCCAGUUGUGUCCACCAUGAACCCGCAAGAGCACUUGGAGACCUCACUGGUAUCAAAAAACAUUUCUCAAGAAAACAUGGCGAGAAGAAAUGGAAAUGCGAGAAGUGUUCGAAGCGAUAUGCUGUUCAAUCCGACUGGAAAGCUCAUUCCAAGAUUUGUGGCACACGAGAAUAUCGAUGUGAUUGUGGCACACUUUUCUCAAGGUAAAAUGGUCUAAUAAUUCUUAAUAAACAAGAUAUAUAGUAUUUAAUAAAAGUUCACGAGUGGAAUAAUCCAUAUUAUGAUAUACUGUAGAUUUUUGAAGUGUGUGUGAGUGAGAGAAAGAGAGAACAGUGUUAUGCUACGAUUUUUUAAGCUUCCACAUACAAUAAAUGGGUUUCGUUUUUUUGUUUAGAGUGCUAAAUUGUUUGUUUCUUUUUUGUUCCAUCUCUAUCAUGACGACAGGAGGGACAGCUUCAUUACUCACAGAGCCUUCUGUGGUGCUUUAGCAGGAGAAAAUGCAAGAUCUUCAUCAUCAUCAUCCUUACUACUUUCAUCAAAUCACCUUCCUCUCCAUUUGCCAAUGACUUUCCCACUCAAAACUGAACCUCAACAUCUCCUACAACACCCACAACUCAAUUCAAACAUCAUGACGAAUACUUUACAACAA
This 1219-nucleotide long non-coding RNA is filed under the name Lactuca sativa (garden lettuce). Its description in RNAcentral is "long non-coding RNA (LSAT_LNC006245)". Lineage: Eukaryota; Viridiplantae; Streptophyta; Magnoliopsida; Asterales; Asteraceae. The record is from RNAcentral.